Long non-coding RNA from Fundulus heteroclitus (mummichog), 1350 nucleotides. RefSeq lists it as uncharacterized. The transcript has 3 exons. Lineage: Eukaryota; Metazoa; Chordata; Actinopteri; Cyprinodontiformes; Fundulidae. The record is from RefSeq and is a predicted model, not a curated record.
GUCAGUUAAUUCAGGCUUCCUGUUCAGAUGUUUAUCAUGUUACUCUCAUUUUUAGAUUCUUCAGAGAAGAUAAUGGACUGCAUUAGGUUGACUCUGGUGGUCCUGAUGCCAGUUUCUCUGCUGCUCUUGUUUCUGUGGAUGAGGAGGAAGAGGAGCUCAGACACUGGAGCAGCGCUGGAGAGGAUGCAGCCCGAUCCAGUUUAUCAAAACAUCUCAGCCCUGAAAGCUGCAGCAUCUCAGACUGAAAAAGCAAAGGAGCAGGACGACCCUCUAUGAAGUCUGUCAGGUCUCAAACUUCAGAGGAAGAAAGCCACAUCAUCAUACAACCACUUUCUGGCUCGGAGUUCAAAACCAGAAGCAGUUUUAUUCACCAAGCUUCUGCACACAAACAAGGAAUUUGACUGCUCUUCCACUUUGAUCUCCAUGAAUUCAAUUUAGUUUACUUAAAUUGUGAAAAUUCACAAGACAUGUCUCAAAACACUUUACAAGAGAAAGUUUAUUUCGUUCCAGUUAUCAAACAAUUAAAUCAAGUACAGUUUAUUCUCCAGAUUGAUUUAAAGAUUUGUAAGGAAACCCAGCAGGUUGCAACCAAUCAUUGACUUGACUUGGCUCAAUCUGAAUUAUUGAGGAAGGACUCUUAAGCCAAAGCAGAAGUGCAUCAGUGAUCGGCAUGAUAAGUCAGGAAGAAAGGAGGUAGGAAGAAUCCUGAAUGCGUCCUCCCACGGCUAGUUUAACAUAGUAACCCCGCAAAGUCUCUUAUCAGUGCUACGAAGCCUUAAAGUAUCCCACAAUCCUUUGCAUUACAUGAUUUAUCAGCCCAGCCCCCUUGUGGAAAUUAACAGAAAUGUCUGGUGGAAAAAAACAUGCACUUUGUUGUUAAUUUUUGGAAGGCUGUAGGCCCGGAUUUGACUCGCAUCAGCCAUGUGUGUUUUUCUCAUGUAAUGAUGUCAGAGUUAAAGGCUGUCCGAAUUCAGCACAGCAAUCCGAAACUCCUGUCCUCCCCAUGAUGGAGUUCUUAUAGAUGACCCUGUGAAAGGUCAGGGAGCAGAAACUAGAUGCUACUAUUAAGGGUAUUUGGAUGUGCCAUGGACUUUGCAGCAAUCCUUCAAACCCAGCAUGCAUAUAAUGACAUUGAAGAGGAAAACUCCACAGAGAAACCUCCAGCAGAACCAGAAUCAAGCUCAGCGUGAAUGGCCAUCUGCCAUGACAAAAUGGUAAAAUGAAAUGAAUAAAAUAGAAAUGGAAAUAAAGGUUUCUUAUUGACCUUAAAAGGCAUUAGGAUUCUGAUUAUUCUUAAGUGCUGUAUAAAUAAACGUGCCUUAUUCAGUAAAGCAAAAAACAUUUAACGGC